Molecule: long non-coding RNA, 458 nt
Organism: Branchiostoma floridae (Florida lancelet)
Lineage: Eukaryota; Metazoa; Chordata; Leptocardii; Amphioxiformes; Branchiostomatidae
Exons: 4
Source: RefSeq, a predicted model, not a curated record
CAGAGUUGUGCUGCAUGCGGCUGUUGUUAUUCUGAGGGGGCUGGUGGGGAGGGGGGUGAGAAUAAAAAGUUGUGCCCCGCUCCGCGCAGUUGUGCGGAAGUGCAGCAGGAAAAAGAACGUGAUUUUCAAAAUGGCGGCGGACAGGUAGGCGGGAAGGCCGUGUCAGACAGUUACAUCGCACACACAGCGUUUUCCAGCGGACAUUUCUGCACGCCUGUGUUCAGUUGCCCCAAGAAGUCCCCCCUGCUGUUGCCAUGGCAGCGAAGCGCACGGCGACCUCGGAACUGACAGACCGCAACUGGGACCAGGAGGAGGAACCAGAGGAGGCAGGCACCUGGAACCCGGCCAGCCGUGAGGAGAUGUCUAAGAGAAGAGUGAAGAAGGCCAUGAGAAGAGGGGCUGCAGGCUCUGAGGUAAGCUGAAAUAAACGGUCAUGUGGGAAAAACUCUUACUUUUAA